UGGCUCAGGAUGAAGCUAGCGGCAGGCUUAAUACAUGCAAGUCAAGGGGGUAGCAAUACUACCGGCGCACGGGUGAGUAACACGUACAUAACAUACCAUAUACUGGGGUAUAGCUUUGGGAAACUGAAGGUAAUCCCCCAUAACAUUGCGAGAGGGCAUCUGAUUGCAAUUAAAGUUUCGACGGUAUAUGAUUGAUGUGCGUUUGAUUAGCUUGUUGGUAGGGUAACGGCCUACCAAGGCGACGAUCAAUAGCUGGCGUGAGAGCGCGACCAGCCACACUGGAACUGAGACACGGUCCAGACUCCUACGGGAGGCAGCAGUAGGGAAUAUUGGACAAUGGGCGAAAGCCUGAUCCAGCCAUGCCGCGUGAUAGAUGAAGGCCCUCUGGGUUGUAAAUAUCUUUUAUCUGGGAAGAAACAAUCUUAUUCUUAAGAUCUUGACGGUACCAGAGGAAUAAGCACCGGCUAACUCCGUG
This 475-nucleotide ribosomal RNA is filed under the name uncultured bacterium. Its description in RNAcentral is "bacterial SSU rRNA". It matches the Rfam family "Bacterial small subunit ribosomal RNA", at positions 20 to 507 of the family's 1533-position model. The record is from RNAcentral.